AGUGAACGCUGGCGGUAGGCCUAACACAUGCAAGUCGAACGGCAGCACAGUAAGAGCUUGCUCUUACGGGUGGCGAGUGGCGGACGGGUGAGGAAUACAUCGGAAUCUACUUUUUCGUGGGGGAUAACGUAGGGAAACUUACGCUAAUACCGCAUACGACCUACGGGUGAAAGCAGGGGAUCUUCGGACCUUUCGCGAUUGAAUGAGCCGAUGUCGGAUUAGCUAGUUGGCGGGGUAAAGGCCCACCAAGGCGACGAUGCGUAGCUGGUCUGAGAGGAUGAUCGGCCACACUGGAACUGAGACACGGUCCAGACUCCUACGGGAGGCAGCAGUAGGGAAUAUUUGGCAAUGGGCGGAAGCCUGACGCAGCCAAGCCGCGUGGGUGAAGAAGGGCUUCGGGUUUUAAAACCCUUUUUUUAGGGAAGAAAAGACGUGGGAUUAAUUCCGCACUGUUUGACGGUACCCAAAGAAAAAGCCACGGCUAACUUCGUG
RNAcentral lists this ribosomal RNA (492 nucleotides) under uncultured bacterium. RNAcentral describes it as "partial 16S ribosomal RNA". It matches the Rfam family "Bacterial small subunit ribosomal RNA", at positions 29 to 507 of the family's 1533-position model. The record is from RNAcentral.